Molecule: ribosomal RNA, 254 nt
Filed under: uncultured bacterium
Lineage: Bacteria
Description: partial 16S ribosomal RNA
Rfam family: Bacterial small subunit ribosomal RNA
Source: RNAcentral
UACGAGGGGUGCAAGCGUUAUUCGGAAUUAUUGGGCGUAAAGGGUGUGUAGACGGCAUGCUAAGUCAACUGUUAAAUUCCCCGGCCUAACUGGGGGUAUGCGGUAGAAACUAGCUGUGCUAGAGGGUGAGAGAGAGAAGUGGAAUUCUCGGAGUAGCGGUAAAAUGCGUAGAUCUCGAGAGGAACACCAAUGGCGAAGGCAGCUUCUUGGCUCACUCCUGACGUUGAGGCACGAAAGCGUGGGGAGCAAACAGG